GAACCGUCUAGAGGUAAGCGGGUGGACCCGUCCAGUCGGCCCUCGGAAUUCAGCUUUUGGGAAUGUCUGCUGGCGCAGUUCUGGGAUCCCUGGGACUCGCUCGGCGCCAGACCGGACUCCCGAGAGUGCACUUUCCGUGUUGGCAGAGCGUCACGACCGGUUUUGCGGCGGUGAGAAGGCCCUCGGGAAGGUAGGUCGCCGUCCUUCGGGGCUGCGACUGUUAUAGACCUUGGGAGAUGGCCGCUGCGAGACCGUGGAUCGACCCGUCGUAUGGCAGUGGGGCUUCCCGCGUGCGUUCGACUCGGAAGGACAGGCUUGCCGUGCUUCCGGACUGCGCUGCGAGGGAGGACUCUGCUAUAGCCCGCGAUGUGUUAGGGUCAGUGACACACGAUCGGUAAUCCACCCGGCCCGUCUUGAAACACGGACCAAGAAGUCCAACAUGUGCGCGAGUCAUUGGGUCCUACGAAACCUAAAGGCGUAAUGAAGGUGAAGGCAGGUUCGGCUUGCUGAGGUGAGAUCCUCGUCCUCGGGCGGGGCGCAUCACCGGCCCGUCUGCAAAGGCGGAGCAAGAGCGCACACGUUGGGACCCGAAAGAUGGUGAACUAUGCCUGAGCAGGAUGAAGCCAGAGGAAACUCUGGUGGAAGUCCGUAGCGAUUCUGACGUGCAAAUCGAUCGUCGAACUUGGGUAUAGGGGCGAAAGACUAAUCGAACCAUCUAGUAGCUGGUUCCCUCCGAAGUUUCCCUCAGGAUAGCUGGCGCUCGUCUUAACAGUUUUAUCCGGUAAAGCGAAUGAUUAGAGGCCUUGGGGACGAAACGUCCUCAACCUAUUCUCAAACUUUAAAUGGGUAAGGAGUCGGACUCGCUCGAUCUGGAGUCCGGACUGGAAUGUGAGUGCCAAGUGGGCCACUUUUGGUAAGCAGAACUGGCGCUGUGGGAUGAACCAAACGUCCGGUUAAGGUGCCUAACACUGACGCUCAUGAGAUACCAUAAAAGGUGUUGGUUGAUAUAGACAGCAGGACGGUGGCCAUGGAAGUCGGAAUCCGCUAAGGAG
This 1052-nucleotide ribosomal RNA is filed under the name Bolma rugosa. Its description in RNAcentral is "eukaryotic LSU rRNA". It matches the Rfam family "Eukaryotic large subunit ribosomal RNA", at positions 402 to 1278 of the family's 3401-position model. Lineage: Eukaryota; Metazoa; Mollusca; Gastropoda; Trochida; Turbinidae. The record is from RNAcentral.